AACGAACGCUGGCGGCAUGCCUAACACAUGCAAGUCGAACGAGACCUUCGGGUCUCGUGGCGCACGGGUGCGUAACGCGUGGGAACCUGCCCUUAGGUUCGGAAUAACUCCCCGAAAGGGGUGCUAAUACCGGAUAAUGUCUUCGGACCAAAGAUUUAUCGCCUUUGGAUGGGCCCGCGUUGGAUUAGCUAGUUGGUAGGGUAAAAGCCUACCAAGGCGACGAUCCAUAGCUGGUCUGAGAGGAUGAUCAGCCACACUGGGACUGAGACACGGCCCAGACUCCUACGGGAGGCAGCAGUAGGGAAUAGUGGACAAUGGGCGAAAGCCUGAUCCAGCAAUGCCGCGAGAGUGAUGAAGGCCUUAGGGUUGUAAAGCUCUUUUACACGGGAUGAUAAUGACAGUACCGGGAGAAUAAGCUCCGGCUAACUCCGUG
This 433-nucleotide ribosomal RNA is filed under the name uncultured bacterium. Its description in RNAcentral is "partial 16S ribosomal RNA". It matches the Rfam family "Bacterial small subunit ribosomal RNA", at positions 29 to 507 of the family's 1533-position model. The record is from RNAcentral.